RNAcentral lists this long non-coding RNA (203 nucleotides) under Elaeis guineensis (African oil palm). RNAcentral's name for it is "long non-coding RNA (EGUI_LNC058784)". The record is from RNAcentral. Lineage: Eukaryota; Viridiplantae; Streptophyta; Magnoliopsida; Arecales; Arecaceae.
UAGAAAGUAUAUUGUCUUUUUACCUCUACGCUCCUUUCCUCUAAGUGUUUAAGCCUAGAGAUGGCGACAGGUGAAGAACUGAAGACCCAAGAUGCGAAGAUCGAUGUCGGUGCUGACUGAUGAUGCGAAAAUCGAUGUCGGUGCUGACUAAUGAGCGAAGAUGGAAGAUCGAUGUCACCGCAUCGACAAUGGUAGGUGGGGGA